RNAcentral lists this ribosomal RNA (429 nucleotides) under Bacteroidota bacterium. RNAcentral describes it as "Bacteroidetes bacterium partial 16S ribosomal RNA". It matches the Rfam family "Bacterial small subunit ribosomal RNA", at positions 355 to 776 of the family's 1533-position model. The record is from RNAcentral. Lineage: Bacteria; Pseudomonadati; Bacteroidota.
UAGGGAAUCUUCCGCAAUGGACGCAAGUCUGACGGAGCAACGCCGCGUGAGUGAAGAAGGAUUUCGGUUCGUAAAACUCUGUUGUUAGAGAAGAACAGCGCAUAGAGUAACUGUUAUGCGUGUGACGGUAUUUAACCAGAAAGCCACGGCUAACUACGUGCCAGCAGCCGCGGUUAUACGUAGGUGGCAAGCGUUGUCCGGAUUUAUUGGGCGUAAAGCGAGCGCAGGCGGUCAAUUAAGUCUGAUGUGAAAGCCCCCGGCUCAACCGGGGAGGGUCAUUGGAAACUGGUUGACUUGAGUGCAGAAGAGGAGAGUGGAAUUCCAUGUGUAGCGGUGAAAUGCGUAGAUAUAUGGAGGAACACCAGUGGCGAAAGCGGCUCUCUAGUCUGAAACAGACGCUGAGGCUCGAAAGCGUGGGGAGCGAACAGG